GGACGAACGCUGGCGGCGUGCCUAACACAUGCAAGUCGAGCGAGGAGAUCCUUCGGGAUGAUCCUAGCGGCGGACGGGUGAGUAACACGUGGGCGAACCUGCCUCAUAGAGAGGAAUAGCCUUCCGAAAGGGAGAUUAAUACCUCGAUAACAUUGCAGUUUCGCAUGGAACAGCAAUUAAAGGAGCAAUCCGCUAUGAGAUGGGCCCGCGGCGCAUUAGCUAGUUGGUGAGGUAACGGCUCACCAAGGCGACGAUGCGUAGCCGACCUGAGAGGGUGAUCGGCCACAUUGGGACUGAGACACGGCCCAGACUCCUACGGGAGGCAGCAGUGGGGAAUAUUGCACAAUGGGGGAAACCCUGAUGCCAGCAACGCCGCGUGAGUGAUGACGGCCUUCGGGUUGGUAAAGCUCUGUCUUCAGGGACGAUAAUGACGGUACCUGAGGAGGAAGCCACGGCUAACUACGUGCCAGCCGCCGC
Molecule: ribosomal RNA, 477 nt
Filed under: uncultured bacterium
Lineage: Bacteria
Description: bacterial SSU rRNA
Rfam family: Bacterial small subunit ribosomal RNA
Source: RNAcentral